Molecule: transfer RNA, 69 nt
Filed under: Furcilarnaca wufengensis
Lineage: Eukaryota; Metazoa; Arthropoda; Insecta; Orthoptera; Gryllacrididae
Description: tRNA-Gln
Source: RNAcentral
UAUAUUUUGGUGUAUGAUGCACGGGAAUUUUUGAUGUUUCAGGAAGUAGUUUAAUUCUAUUAAAUGUAA